Molecule: ribosomal RNA, 727 nt
Filed under: uncultured Actinomycetes bacterium
Lineage: Bacteria; Bacillati; Actinomycetota; Actinomycetes
Description: bacterial SSU rRNA
Rfam family: Bacterial small subunit ribosomal RNA
Source: RNAcentral
GGGCGCUUUCGGGCGUCAGUGGCAGACGGGUGAGUAACGCGUGGGAACCUACCCAUUGGUGCGGAAUAACCCGGGGAAACCCGUGCUAAUACCGCAUACGCCCUGGUUUUAGGAUCAGGGGAAAGAUUCAUCGCCGAUGGAUGGGCCCGCGUCGGAUUAGCUUGUUGGUGUGGUAACGGCGCACCAAGGCGACGAUCCGUAGCUGGUCUGAGAGGAUGAUCAGCCACACUGGGACUGAGACACGGCCCAGACUCCUACGGGAGGCAGCAGCAGGGAAUCUUGCACAAUGGGCGAAAGCCUGAUGCAGCAACGCCGCGUGUGGGAUGAAUGCCUUCGGGUUGUAAACCACUUUCAGGAGGGAAGAAAUUGACGGUACCUCCAAAGAAGCCCCGGCCAACUACGUGCCAGCAGCCGCGGUAAUACGUAGGGGGCAAGCGUUAUCCGGAAUCAUUGGGCGUAAAGAGCUCGUAAGCGGUUCAGCAAGUCGGCUGUGAAAGUCCAAGGCUUAACCUUGGAAAUGCAGUCGAUACUGCUGUGACUAGAGUCUGGUAGAGGAGAAUGGAAUUCCCGGUGUAGCGGUGGAAUGCGCAGAUAUCGGGAGGAACACCAGUAGCGAAGGCGGUUCUCUGGGCCUCGACUGACGCUGAGGAGCGAAAGCAUGGGUAGCAAACAGGAUUAGAUACCCUGGUAGUCCAUGCCGUAAACGUUGGAUACUAGGUGUGGCGUC